RNAcentral lists this ribosomal RNA (519 nucleotides) under uncultured archaeon. Its description in RNAcentral is "bacterial SSU rRNA". It matches the Rfam family "Archaeal small subunit ribosomal RNA", at positions 325 to 847 of the family's 1478-position model. The record is from RNAcentral.
ACGGGGUGCAGCAGGCGCGAAAACUUCACAAUGCUGGCAACAGCGAUGAGGGAAUCCCAAGUGCUAACACAUUGUGUUAGCUGUUUAUUUGUCUAAAAAACAGGUAGAGUAAGGGCUGGGUAAGACCGGUGCCAGCCGCCGCGGUAAUACCGGCAGCUCGAGUGGUAGCCGCUUUUAUUGGGCCUAAAGCGUCCGUAGCCGGUCUGGUAAACCCUUGGGUAAAUCGUAUAGCUUAACUAUACGAAUUCCGAGGAGACUGCCAGACUUGAGACCGGAGAAGGUCGGAGGUACUCCUGGGGUAGGGGUGAAAUCUUAUAAUCCUAGGGGGACCACCAGUGGCGAAGGCGUCCGACUGGAACGGCUCUGACGGUAAGGGACGAAACCCCGGGGCACAAACCGGAUUAGAUACCCGGGUAGUCCAGGGCGUAAACGCUGCAGGCUUGGUGUUGGGGGUCCCAUGAGGGCGUCCAGUGCCGGAGAGAAGUUGUUAAGCCUGCCGCCUGGGAGUACGAUCGCAAG